UUGUGUACAAUCUGCUAUUCAGCACAUCCACUUCCAAAGUCAUGUUGCUGAUAUUGAAAUGUCAAUUCCUUGACCUUUGGAUGCACAUGGGAGUCUCAGAGAACAUUCCAAGCAUUUGAAAGCAAUGCCUCUGAGAACCUUGGAAUGGAGAAAGGGAACAAUGUCAUCUGCACUCAGUCAUGGAGGAAACAGCUGGACAAGUCAGCACAGGGCGGAGGUGACCGGUGGAGGCGACUAGGACUUCUUCAGGUACCUGGAGAUCACUGAACGCUGGCCUUCCAGACCCCUUUACACCAAGUGCGCUAUCCUGAGGGAAAUGGCCUGCCUGAAAGGGACUAAAUGAGUUUGGCCUUCAUGCUCAGAGAGGCACAGCAGAAAGUGUAGGAGGAGAUCAGGGUCUUUUGCUGUUUGCUGUCUCUCUACUACCAAUCUCUGAAAUGCCUUUCUUUAAAAAAAAGAAAAUGAAAUAUCUUUAUUGGCUUGGAUUUUUCUAAUGACAGAAAAGAGAAGUGAGGAGACAAGAUUGGGAAUUGAGGUCAGAGAAGCAUCCGUGGGUAGACGUUGCAUUGUGAGGCGACGUCGGGGAUCUACUGAUUAGCCGGUCUGGCUGCCGCUCUCCAUCCACACAGGGCAUUUGGCCACCCAUUCCUGCUGAUUAAGGGGCAGUGUCCUGGCAGCUUCUGAUAGAUAACUUGGUUGUUUUGUUAUAAGGAGCUUUAUUUCCUCAGGAUGAAUUAUGAAGAUUUUUCUUUUUGUUGUUUCAAAAUAGGGCUGUCUUAUCUGAGAAUGUGUUAAUUAAAGUUAUCAUGUAUUACCUUGUUUCUAGUCCUACACAUUUGAUAUGAACAAAUUACUGUUUACAAGACAGCUUCCUGUACUUAGAAUAGCAGCUGUUGUUACUCCACCAAGAAGAGCUGCCCAGAGGGGCUAGGGCAUGAGGAAUAGGUUUGGAGACAGGAAGAAUAAAGGAAUGUUCAGAUCUAGCUCGAGGGCAGGCGGGACACUUGUGGUGGGAUGGUUGGGUCCACUUCGCUUUCUGUUUUGCCUCCUAACCAAUCUGAUGUUAUCUACUCACGGACCUCCAUUUUCCUGGUGCACUCUUUUGGCUGGCCCUCCUGCUAAAUCUCUUUGCUGGCUGAACCUUAGCCUUCCCUAGCCACAAGCCAAUGAGAAAAUCACUACCUCUAUCUCACUAGGUUGGAGCGUAGCACUUUGGGAAUGGAAGCAACAAGUCCUAACCUCACAGUCAGUCAGGCAUUCAACUCAAAUACAUGAUCAUUUAUUCAGGAGGCAUCUGCUGUGUGCAAUGGCUUUGGGACAGCACAGAGAGAGAUGCAAAGAUGGAAACACUGUCUCUACCCCAGUGUAGUUUAGGACCUGUCUUGGGAAGAAAGCAAUUGUUUCCAAUAACAGUAGUAAGAACAGCAAGAGAGAUGCAGUGAUGUAGAAUGGGAAGGAGAUUCAGAGCAUUCUUGAGUGAGCUGCUAAUUGGAGGGCUGAGGGGAUUGUGACUUCAUCCUUUGCAUCCAGGUGCUGCUGGCGUGUCUGGUGCACAGUGGGUGCUCUGCAGUGUUUGCCAAGCCAUUAUUGAGAAGGGGUAUCCAAUGGUGUGCAUACCCCUUCGAAAGGGCUUACUAGUCAUGUGAGGUGCUACUAGAGAGACAAGUUAAGGUUUUGAAUGAGAGAUGAGAGUUGGAAGAAUAUUCUAGUGGAAAAAAAGAAUAUGAGAAACAGUUCAGAAACAUGGAAUCCCUGCUCAACUUCCUCUGCUCACUGCCCCCGGCCACUUCAUCCAGGGAUGUUGAGGACAGAUUUCUCUACAGGUAAUUGGAAGCAAGACUUACUUGGAGAAAAUAGUUUCAUUGGUCUCUUGUCUCUGACAGUACUCACAAAGCCUCCUUGCUUGUUUGCUUCCUUCCCUUAAUCCCAUUCUUUCAUUCCGAACCUUUCUACGUCUCCCUUAAGUCCUAUUUUCUUUUUCCCUUGUUCUGAGCUCCCAUCACCAUCUUUAUCCCCUGUCAACCAAGGAGACAGGGCACAGGUGCAGUUACCAGGUCACCAAGCUAAACAAAGGGCUUUAGAGUUGGUCUUUUUUGUGACUGUCCUGCCUCCCUCUAGGUAUUUAUCUCUUUUCUGUGGGUAGCAUAACAGAAGCUCAGAGAGUUGAUGUGCCUGCAGCAUGACAUAAGUGGAAGUCACAAACAUUCAUUUUCCACUUCUUUAUUUUGCCUUCUGAGUCAUGGUGCCUCUGCAUAAUUUAAACCUUUUCUCUCCCCACUGCCUUAACCCCUGAAAAUCUGCAACAAGUUCACAUGCAUCCUUAAUUCUCCACUCUAGAAUUUCAAAUGGAAGUUUUAAACAAUGUUUUGGCUUCUUGUGAAAUCUGAGAAUCCAGUGUAUGUCCUUGGUCUUACAAUAAAAGGCUGGUAAAAGUCCUUUUUUUUUUUUUAACUUCCUCUUUCUCUACUCUAUUGUCCAGUUUUGGCUUUCCUAUUUUCCCUCAUCUUUGUAAAAUUGCCUUCCAGAUGUCUCUUCAAAUGACUUGACAGCAGCCCUGUUAUCUUCUAAGAGCCUAAAAGCACUUUGGCUGCUUUAGAAAAAUGUGUUUGUUUUUUCUUCUUAUUAGGCAGCAUCUGAAGUCUCUCUGAAAACACAAGAAAAGAAUAUACAGAGAACCUCCCAGAAACUGCAAGUCCCAUGGAAAUUAAGGCCAUUAGUGUUUUGUAUAAUAAACAGUCACCUUUGCAUUUAAAAUGGACUAUUUUGUUUUGGAUAUAGGUGGAGUAGGAUAUAAAUGUAUACUUCCUUGCUUCUUAGUUUAUCAUAGGAAUCUAAGAAAAGAACUAAGGAUAAGAGAAAAGGAGGAAAAAAAGACAGCUCUGCUGCUUUUAUCUCAGGUUAUUUCAGAAAAAACAAAAUGAUAACCCUGCAAAAUUCUCAGCACUCUUCACUUUGGUUCCACCGCUUUCAGUGGGUGACUUGUCUGGAAAGGAAUCUCUUUUAGCCUUCCUGGCUAAUGAGCCAUGGCAGAUAAUGCCACAAGGUGUCACUAUUGCUAAAAUCGCUCUCCACCUACAGGAUCGAU
Molecule: long non-coding RNA, 3085 nt
Filed under: Homo sapiens (human)
Lineage: Eukaryota; Metazoa; Chordata; Mammalia; Primates; Hominidae
Description: HSALNT0125711
Source: RNAcentral